UACGUAGGGUUCAAGCGUUAUCCGGAAUCACUGGGCGUAAAGCGUGCGUAGGUGGUUUGUUAAGUGUAUUGCGAAAUCCUGUGGCUCAACCACAUGGACUGUAAUGCAUACUGGCAAACUAGAGGACGGCAGAGGCAAGUGGAAUUACUGGUGUAGCAGUGAAAUGCGUAGAGAUCAGUAGGAACACCAAUGGCGAAGGCAGCUUGCUGGGCCGACCCUGACGCUAAGGCACGAAAGCGUGGGGAGCGAACAGG
Molecule: ribosomal RNA, 254 nt
Filed under: uncultured bacterium
Lineage: Bacteria
Description: partial 16S ribosomal RNA
Rfam family: Bacterial small subunit ribosomal RNA
Source: RNAcentral